RNAcentral lists this ribosomal RNA (157 nucleotides) under Burkholderia pseudomallei. Its description in RNAcentral is "partial 16S rRNA". It matches the Rfam family "Bacterial small subunit ribosomal RNA", at positions 1211 to 1367 of the family's 1533-position model. The record is from RNAcentral. Lineage: Bacteria; Pseudomonadati; Pseudomonadota; Betaproteobacteria; Burkholderiales; Burkholderiaceae.
GGGCUUCACACGUCAUACAAUGGUCGGAACAGAGGGUCGCCAACCCGCGAGGGGGAGCCAAUCCCAGAAAACCGAUCGUAGUCCGGAUUGCACUCUGCAACUCGAGUGCAUGAAGCUGGAAUCGCUAGUAAUCGCGGAUCAGCAUGCCGCGGUGAAU